GUGAAUCAUCAAAUUUUUGAACGCAAAUUGCACUCCCUGGUAUUCCGGGGAGUAUGCCUGUUUGAGGGUCGGUAGAAUAAAAAAUCUAUGCGUCGCUCUUUUUUUAAGGGUGAUCGCGUCGUGAUUGAGCCGUCUUUCAAAGGUUAAUUCAUGUCAAAGUGGCUUUAAAUGCAUCCAUUCGGUAGGAUUUAAGCUU
This 196-nucleotide unclassified non-coding RNA is filed under the name Glomeraceae sp. RNAcentral describes it as "partial contains 5.8S ribosomal RNA and internal transcribed spacer 2". The stretch from base 1 to 71 matches the Rfam family "5.8S ribosomal RNA", at positions 84 to 154 of the family's 154-position model. The record is from RNAcentral. Lineage: Eukaryota; Fungi; Glomeromycota; Glomeromycetes; Glomerales; Glomeraceae.